UCGAUUCCGGAGAGGGAGCCUGAGAAACGGCUACCACAUCCAAGGAAGGCAGCAGGCGCGCAAAUUACCCAAUCCCAAUACGGGGAGGUAGUGACAAUAAAUAACAAUAUGGGGCUCUUACGGGUCUCGUAAUUGGAAUGAGUACAAUUUAAAUCUCUUAACGAGGAACAAUUGGAGGGCAAGUCUGGUGCCAGCAGCCGCGGUAAUUCCAGCUCCAAUAGCGUAUAUUAAAGUUGUUGCAGUUAAAAAGCUCGUAGUUGAAUUUCGGGGUCUGUCCAUUGGUCGGGCUUCACGGUCCGUACUGGUGUGAUGGGUUCCUACCUUCUGAAUAACCAGCAUGCCAUUCAGUUGGUGCGCCGGGGAAGCAGAGCUAUUACCUUGAAAAAAUUAGAGUGCUUAAAGCAGGCUAGUGCUUGAAUAGAUUAGCAUGGAAUAAUAAAAUAGGACGGCAUGGUUCUAUUUUGUUGGUUUCUAGGAUCACCGUAAUGAUUAAUAGGGAUAGUUGGGGGCAUUAGUAUUCAAUUGUCAGAGGUGAAAUUCUUGGAUUUAUUGAAGACUAACUUCUGCGAAAGCAUUUGCCAAGGAUGUUUUCAUUAAUCAAGAACGAAAGUUAGGGGAUCGAAGACGAUCAGAUACCGUCGUAGUCUUAACCAUAAACUAUGCCGACUAGGGAUCGGACGAUGUUAAUUUUAUAAUGACUCGUUCGGCGCCUUACGGGAACCA
This 723-nucleotide ribosomal RNA is filed under the name Acaulospora spinosa. RNAcentral describes it as "SSU rRNA". It matches the Rfam family "Eukaryotic small subunit ribosomal RNA", at positions 377 to 1100 of the family's 1831-position model. Lineage: Eukaryota; Fungi; Glomeromycota; Glomeromycetes; Diversisporales; Acaulosporaceae. The record is from RNAcentral.